GUCACUAAAAGGAUUUUAUUAAAAAAAAUUGAAAUAAUUGUACUAAAAUCCCAUAUUUUUUUGCCCAAAAUACAAGAAAAGCUCAAUACAUUAGACCUAAAUUUAUAUUCUUAUUCAACCACAAAAAAUAACACUCAUUAUAAGGAAAAUUGUCAAAUACAUUACAAAUGUUUAACAAAAACAUAUCGCUAAGAACUAUUUAUCGGAUUAUAAAGUGGUUUGUUCAAAUGUCUCAAAAUGGCCGCCAUUUUCUUGUAAUUGUGUUUGUCGCACAUCCAUUUCAGAUUGUCUUUCAUGCAACUGCAAAUCAAAUUGAGUGCUUCCGCACCACAAUCGACACAACAAGAAUAACCCAUACAUAUAUUGGUAAAAAGGUGAAUCAUUGUUUUAUUAAGGAUGUUAGUUGCAUAAAUUGGCGAAAACAUAAAACAUGGUUUUUUAAAUUAACUAAAAAUAUAAGUGAAACAUAAUUGAAUAUAUACCUUUGCAGACACUUCAAAUUAUUUUUGAUAAAUUUGAUUUUUUGGAUUCUGCAACAUGAAAUAAAUAAUUUAUUACACUGCUAACACCAAAUAGAAAAAUAUACAUACAUACAUGAUGUGUUGGCAUCAUUAUACAAGCAUAUGAUAGUUUAAAAGCAAAUGAAGCUAACAAGAUAUGCCUAGUGAUCGUUUAUGUUCCGUGAUGAAAUUGAAUCUUUUACAAUUAACAUGCUUAAAAUAGAAAAUAGUUUAAUAGCUUUGACAACUUCACAUUUUUAAAAGAGUGAACACAAUUUAUCAGCAUAAGUUCCUAACAUUUAACAUAGAAGGAGAACUAAAAUUGCCAACAAUAGCUUAACAUCUUAACACUUUGUCUAAUAACAUUGUUUUGAACUAAAUAAAUAGUUAAAACAUAAACAAACACCCAACUCUUGUUGUUGACAGUAAACACCCAUUAAGGUUGAACAACACACAACCAAGGUUUAAAAAACUGAAAAAAAAAUGUUUCAAUCACAUUGAAAUAUGUAUAAAUCGAACCUUGAGACAAACAAUUUUGACUAAUCGACACAUUGACCACAAAUCAAACAUAUCUUAACAGUUAACAGGGGAAGAAAAGUACAGAACUACCAACGAAUAUGCCGAGGACUGAUUCGUGAGGUACUAACCUUCGCAAAUGACGAGGAGUGUCGGAGGUACUCUGGAGAAGCAGACGACGUCGGAGGAGAAGGAGCCGACUCUGAAUCGAUUAACACCAUAUCCCUAAACAUUAAUUUUAGGGCUAUUAGAAGGUGAAUAGGACAAUUAUAAUUACAAAGGGUGUACAUCAGGACAUCAAAAUACAUAUUGAUUUCUGGAGAAGAUAAACUUACCGGGGAGGAAGACGCGGGUGGAAAAGGGGAGGCUAAUGAUGGAUGAGGGUGGCGCUGGAGGUGGUGGUGUGGGAGGAACCGACGAGAGAGACAUGAACCGUUAUCGUUUUUCCCUUUACCUACUCCAGCAAAUCGAACUUGAAGGGGAAGGGGGUGAGAAGCACGCACCUGGACCUGGUGAUCGAUUUAUGGAAGAGCUCUCAUUCCCGGUUUUCUUUGAUGGAUUUUCAUAUUAUUUUUUUUUUCCGAUUUAACGCCUGCAAAUUGGAUUCUACCAAAGGGAAAUGAGGUCAAAUGGGGAUAAA
Molecule: long non-coding RNA, 1656 nt
Filed under: Lactuca sativa (garden lettuce)
Lineage: Eukaryota; Viridiplantae; Streptophyta; Magnoliopsida; Asterales; Asteraceae
Description: long non-coding RNA (LSAT_LNC007236)
Source: RNAcentral